Molecule: transfer RNA, 73 nt
Filed under: Haemaphysalis longicornis (longhorned tick)
Lineage: Eukaryota; Metazoa; Arthropoda; Arachnida; Ixodida; Ixodidae
Rfam family: tRNA
About the family: Transfer RNA (tRNA) molecules are approximately 80 nucleotides in length. Their secondary structure includes four short double-helical elements and three loops (D, anti-codon, and T loops). Further hydrogen bonds mediate the characteristic L-shaped molecular structure. tRNAs have two regions of fundamental functional importance: the anti-codon, which is responsible for specific mRNA codon recognition, and the 3' end, to which the tRNAs corresponding amino acid is attached (by aminoacyl-tRNA synthetases). tRNAs cope with the degeneracy of the genetic code in two manners: having more than one tRNA (with a specific anti-codon) for a particular amino acid; and 'wobble' base-pairing, i.e. permitting non-standard base-pairing at the 3rd anti-codon position.
Source: Rfam by way of RNAcentral
CCGCCGGUAGCGUAGUGGUUAUCGCACCAGAUUGGUAUUCUGGAGGUAGUGGGUUCGGAUCUCACCCGGCGGG